AAAACAAAGAACAUUAAGAAGACCUAAGAAAUAACACAUAAAAAAUAAAAAUCAUUUAGUUUAAUUUUAAUCACAUAUUCAAUUUUUUCUGCUACAAAAAACACUUUUUUAACUCAUCCAGACAUUGAGAAUAAAUAUCAUUAUUUCAACAUUAAUGGAAACCCACCCACAAUAAACAUAAACAAAACAAACCAGUGGAACCAAAUUAAAACCAAUUAUCAAACCAAACGGAUGGACACAAGAAACAGGAGCUCGAGAACAAACAAAAAGGAAACAAAUCUGAAGGAAUUACAAUAAUAACAAAUUCAUCAGACUUUUCGGGACAACAAAUAAAGUGUUUAUUUUCCUUUACAAACAAAUAAAACUAAAACAUAUUGUACAUAUAGAAACAA
Long non-coding RNA from Lucilia sericata (common green bottle fly), 392 nucleotides. RefSeq lists it as uncharacterized. Lineage: Eukaryota; Metazoa; Arthropoda; Insecta; Diptera; Calliphoridae. The record is from RefSeq and is a predicted model, not a curated record. The transcript is spliced from 2 exons.